CGGCGGACGGGUGAGUAACGCGUGGGUAACCUGCCUCAUACAGGGGGAGAACAGUUGGAAACGGCUGCUAAUACCGCAUAAGCGCACAGUACCGCAUGGUACGGUGUGAAAAACUCCGGUGGUAUGAGAUGGACCCGCGUCUGAUUAGGUAGUUGGUGGGGUAACGGCCUACCAAGCCGACGAUCAGUAGCCGACCUGAGAGGGUGACCGGCCACAUUGGGACUGAGACACGGCCCAA
RNAcentral lists this ribosomal RNA (238 nucleotides) under uncultured bacterium. RNAcentral's name for it is "partial 16S ribosomal RNA". It matches the Rfam family "Bacterial small subunit ribosomal RNA", at positions 96 to 334 of the family's 1533-position model. The record is from RNAcentral.